AGAGUUUGAUCCUGGCUCAGAAUGAACGUUGGCGGCAUGGUUUAGGCAUGCAAGUCGAGCGCGAUAGAUCCUUUGCUUGCAUUGGAUCUGGAAAGCGGCGAAAGGGUGAGUAACGCGUAGUUACUUGCCUCAGGGUUCGGAAUAGCCACGGGAAACUGUGGGUAAUGCCGAAUAAUAUCUCCGGAUCAAAGGUGUGAUUCCGCCCUGAGAGAGGACUGCGUACUACUAGCUUGUUGGUGGGGUAAUGGCCUACCAAGGCUGCGAUGGUUAGCGGGCGUGAGAGCGUGGCCCGUCACACUGGGACUGAGACACUGCCCAGACACCUACGGGUGGCUGCAGUCGAGAAUCUUCGGCAAUGGACGAAAGUCUGACCGAGCAAUGCCGCGUGCGGGAUGAAGGCCUUCGGGUUGUAAACCGCUGUCAGUUGGGAG
This 431-nucleotide ribosomal RNA is filed under the name uncultured Planctomycetota bacterium. RNAcentral describes it as "bacterial SSU rRNA". It matches the Rfam family "Bacterial small subunit ribosomal RNA", at positions 8 to 446 of the family's 1533-position model. Lineage: Bacteria; Pseudomonadati; Planctomycetota. The record is from RNAcentral.